AUGGUGCCUAACUCUUGCUGGGUUAAAACACUGUGCCCAAGGGGCGGCCUUUUCCUCUGGCUAGCAAAAUGGCACAGGGGAGCUCUCCCCAGGUCUUCUGCAUCCUUCUCCUUCUUCCACAUGAGGGAAUCAGGCCACAGAUCACAACCAUCCCAUGCCCUACACAGCCAGGGUUGGACACUGCAGCAGCCUGCAGACGUCAUAGUGGCCACCGCUGCCCCACCCUUUGCACCGCACCCCACAAGUCCGGGGCUGGCCAGCUGGCCCACCGCUUGCCAAGCUCAGGCCUACUGGUGCCACGCGUGCUUGGACGGGAGAGGAGCCAGAGCAGGAAGGCAGGCGGCUGCCCACCCGGGUCUGCGGCGAGAGAGAGGCAGUGCCAGGAAGCACAGAGGAGGACGCCACCUGGCACGCAGACCAAGUGCAACGGGCGCACGAGAGGCACUGCUGCGCGAGAGCCACAGCCAUCGCUUUUGUGUCCAGUGGCGUGCAGCCCACCGACUAGUCUCCAGGAAGGAACGAGAUGACGCACAGGGAGACUUCAGUUGGAACCAGCUAUGCUGGGAGUCACAGCAGCAUACGUUGACAGGAGGCAGUACCUCACACCUCAUAAAGAGGAGAAAAGAAGCUGCAGCAAUGAUGAGAAAUGGAACGAUGAAGCCUCUCAGAAAGAGUGAUAGGCUGUUUGAGUCACGUCUUUACAACAACCCUAAUGGAGCAACCUGUCAGACUGUUUACAUGCCUAAAGAUACAGACAACAGAAUGAUACAAACAGCCAUCUCCAAAAGCACCCAUAUUCAGAUCCUCUCAAACUGGGCACUCAGCCAUUUUUGAUAAUGCACCUUUGAAUGGUUUGCUGAGCAAACUUAUGUCAGGAACUUCAGGAUGAGAGAGACAUUCAUCAUUCAUUAAAACUUUAGUCACGGGCUGUAGAUAAAGCACUUCUUCAUUUACCGGCAACACCCUAGGGGGUGUUACUGCUGACUUUACCUUUUCCAGGAGUAAAGUUGCCCUAGACGUCUUCCAGCUUGUCAUCAUUUUUGUGCAGCGCUCUGGCCCUGACCAUUGACAAAGACUGUUAGUCUGGUGGGUCUACCACAUCAUCAGUAUGGGGUCAAGCAAUCCACCUGCACUCUCAAAUGAUAGGAUCUAGCUCCUUGCAUAGAUAGAAGAAAAUUGUCCCAGGCUUGAUCUUACUUAGGUGAAAGCAGUGUCUGUUUGUGGGUUAAAACACAUAACACAUGUAGCUAGCUGGUACCCAAGUGGCUGCACUGGACAUGCAGGCCUGACUUUCUCUACAUUACCUUGCUGACUGUCAGCAGAAUUGCAUUGUUUGUGUGGCCAGAUAUCCUUUUUUUGCACCUUGGAUUGUCCAGAGAUUCUGACUUCUCCUGCAGUAGGUGGGACUUCAGUCACUUCAGAGUCUCCCAGAUUUCUGCAUAAAAUUUCAGAGAUUUCCAAAUACAGUAACCCAGGCUUGAAAGCAUCUCUAUGCUUAAGCCUGUGCCAUGCUGAAGUACUGUGAGCACCUGGACACCUUCACAUGCACACAAACAUGUUUGCUCUCGCAUCUGCUUGGCCGCCUACUCUACCCUGCGGCCAACCAUAUUCCCAUCCCAACAUACUUUCCUGUUUGCUAGAGACAAUGCAGCAUCAUCUUAAAAAAGAUAUAACCCAACUGGGAAUGGAGAAGGCAAAUAGCUGGCAGCACCACUGCCUUCCUCUAAUGGUCCCAGCUUUCAGUUGUCUUCUCCCUUGCCAGCCAUCUGUCCUUCAGUAAGUCGGGCUGGCUACUGACCAUCUGAUAUGGAGAAGAUGUCUGGCACUUCAUGCUCUAAAUAGACACUCUGAUGUAGCCUCUUAUCCUUGCCAAAUGCACCAGCACUAGGCUAGAUAAGGGAGAGCCAGGGCUGAAUUGUGUAUACGACUGCAUUACCUAGAACUAAUAUAAAUAUUUGUCCAUAUAUUCAACAAACGUAGAGCCUAGCACCACUAGCUCUAAUGAACCAGUGCCAUUUCACAUCAGUCCUCCUGAACAGGAGCAAGCUGUUCACAAUGUGUUUAAUUGCAGACACAAGAGAAUUUUACAAUUUUUUCAGGAAAGAUCUAUUUUCCUGUUAUCUUAAUCAGACUUUUUCCAGUCAAAAUUUUACUUCCACUUCAUGGAGGGCAACUUAAGAUUAAAAAGUCUUGUAAAAGUCAACGAUAAGGUAGAGUCAGGAUUGGUCUAAAAUCCAGCUCCUAAAAUAUAUUAUCAGACUCCAGAGUCUCCUGUCUUAUACUGACUUCUUACAUGCAUCUUCGUGUCUUCACACCAAUAUAUAUGUGUAGUUUCUCACUCUGUGGAUACAAGUGACAGCCUUCCUGUCACUCUCCUGUAGUAGACAUUUGCCUUUUUCCUACAUCCUUCUCUUCUACAAAGAAGGUCCCUCUGACCCAUGAUGUAUGGCAGUGCAUAGGUUCUGCAUACUUCUUUAGCAGCAAAUUUUUGUUGCUGCUUUGAACAAUGAGAAGAAUUAAAAACUCCUGGAAAUGUAUCUGCUUGAAGAAAAUAAACCUGUUUGUUUUCUUGCA
Numida meleagris (helmeted guineafowl) is the source of this 2574-nucleotide long non-coding RNA. NCBI's taxonomy places the organism in Eukaryota, Metazoa, Chordata, Aves, Galliformes, Numididae. The record is from Ensembl.